This 45-nucleotide non-coding RNA is filed under the name Schistosoma curassoni. The record is from RNAcentral. Lineage: Eukaryota; Metazoa; Platyhelminthes; Trematoda; Strigeidida; Schistosomatidae.
AGACUGCUGACGAGUCCCAAAUAGGACGAAACACGCGUCCUGGAU